RNAcentral lists this ribosomal RNA (475 nucleotides) under uncultured Saccharomycetes. RNAcentral's name for it is "partial 26S ribosomal RNA". Lineage: Eukaryota; Fungi; Ascomycota; Saccharomycetes. The record is from RNAcentral.
CAAGGAAAAUUGAGACCGGGGUUAUAAUCCUCGAAAGGUACAUUCCCCGGUGGUUUUGUUUCCCGCCGCCCCGAUGCUGGCCCAGUUAAGUGUCUGCUUGCAAGCCCUUCCCUUUCAACAAUUUCACGUACUUUUUCACUCUCUUUUCAAAGUGCUUUUCAUCUUUCCAUCACUGUACUUGUUCGCUAUCGGUCUCUCGCCGGUAUUUAGCUUUAGAUGGAAUUUACCACCCACUUAGAGCUGCAUUCCCAAACAACUCGACUCUUGGAGAUCUGGGAUGAAGGCGUUGAAGGGGUUCACGGGGCUGUCACCCUCUGUGGCGCCACUUUCCAGUGGACUUAACCCCCGCCGGCCGGACCCAAAUCUCUUCAAAUUACAAUUCCCGGGGGAUUUCAAAUUUGAGCUUUUGCCGCUUCACUCGCCGUUACUGAGGCAAUCCCUGUUGGGUUUCUUUUCCUCCGCUUAUGGAUAGCAA